ACCUGAUGAGGCAGGGAUUAUUAUCUUUAUUUCACAGAGGAGGAAACUGAAGAUCAGAGAAGUUAGGUGAUUUGCCCAGGGUUUUGCAGUAAGUAAGUAAUAGAGUCAAGAUUCUAGGCCAGGUAUGAAUGUCUGACUCAAGCUUUCCUAUAUCCCCCACACAAUGGAAAGAGCACGCGGUCUGAUGAACCAACAACUGAGUGGAAUAGAGAAAUCAUCUUGAUUUCAGAGUGAAGAGAAAUCUCAGGCCCAGCCUGUAGCAAAGUGCACCUCUGACCUUGACAGUUUGGACAGGAAGAAUAUGAAAGGGUUAGUCUCUCAGGGAAAUGGGGAUGGGUACAGAAAAGUAAAUUAUUGGGAAAGUGCAUGAUGUUUCUAGCUGGAGUAGAACUGACAGGGAUCCAAGCACAAUUAGUUUAUUUGGGAGGGGAUUGCAGAAAACACCAGCAGAAGAGUGAGGAAGUGAGAUAGGGAGGGAAAAGAAACCAAUAAAGCAUGCGCUAUCGAGCAAGCUACCAUGGUGGGCCACCGAAAUCGGACCCUCUAGGGCAGUGGUCCCCAACUUUUUUGGCACCAAGGACCAGUUUUGUGGAAAACAAUUUUUCCACGAACUGGAGGGUGAGGGGAUGGGGGCAUGGUUUUGGGAUGAGUCAAGUGCAUUACAUUGAUUGUGUACUUUAUUUCUAUUAUUAGUAUUACAUUAUAAUAUAUAAAGAAGUAAUUAUACAACUCACCAUAAGGUAGAAUCAGUGGGAGUCUGAGCUGUUUUCCUGCAAUUAGACGGCCCCAGUGGGGGUGAUGGGAGGUAGUGACAGAUCAUCAAGCAUUAGAGUCUCAUAAUGAGCAUGCAACCUAGGUCCCUCACAUGCUCAGUUCACAACAGGGUUCACACUCCUAUGAGAAUCUAAUGCUAAUCUGACAGGAGAUGGAGCUCAGGCAGUAAUGCGAGCGACGGGGAGG
RNAcentral lists this long non-coding RNA (960 nucleotides) under Homo sapiens (human). RNAcentral's name for it is "LHRI_LNC1229.1". The record is from RNAcentral. Lineage: Eukaryota; Metazoa; Chordata; Mammalia; Primates; Hominidae.